RNAcentral lists this long non-coding RNA (261 nucleotides) under Coffea arabica (coffee). RNAcentral's name for it is "long non-coding RNA (CARA_LNC003159)". Lineage: Eukaryota; Viridiplantae; Streptophyta; Magnoliopsida; Gentianales; Rubiaceae. The record is from RNAcentral.
UCACAUUCAUUUUAAACCAGAAAAUUCCUCAAUAAAUUGAAAACUUCACCAUAAAUUCCUUCAACCCAUGAAAUACUCCACAAAAUAACACACAUGGCCACCACAAACCAUUAAUUAACCAAUACUAGAACAAAAUGGACUUGUAUAUCAACUCACCUCAAAUUCAAGAGAGCUACCAACUUAGAACUUCCCAUCCAAAAGCAAGCCAUCAAAAGCUUUAAACCACCCUAGAGAGCACUUGUGUGAAAUAUUUGCCAAAAC